RNAcentral lists this ribosomal RNA (465 nucleotides) under uncultured bacterium. RNAcentral describes it as "partial 16S ribosomal RNA". It matches the Rfam family "Bacterial small subunit ribosomal RNA", at positions 338 to 795 of the family's 1533-position model. The record is from RNAcentral.
CCUACGGGCGGCAGCAGUAGGGAAUCUUCCACAAUGGGCGAAAGCCUGAUGGAGCAACGCCGCGUGGGUGAAGAAGGUCUUCGGAUCGUAAAACCCUGUUGUUAGGGAAGAAAGUGCGUGAGAGUAACUGUUCACGUUUCGACGGUAUCUAACCAGAAAGCCACGGCUAACUACGUGCCAGCAGCCGCGGGAAUACGUAGGUGGCAAGCGUUAUCCGGAUUUAUUGGGCGUAAAGGGAACGCAGGCGGUCUUUUAAGUCUGCUGGGAAAGUCGUCGGCUUAAACGGAGUCGUGCAGUGGAAACUGGGAGACGUGAGUGCAGAAGAGGAGAGUGGAAUUCAAGGUGUAGCGGUGAAAUGCGUAGAUAUAUGGAAGAACACCAGUGGCGAAAGCGGCUCUCUGGGCUGUAACUGACGCUGAGGUACGAAAGCGUGGGUAGCAAACAGGAUUAGAUACCCUAGUAGUC